CUCAGGAUGAACGCUGGCGGCGUGCCUAAUACAUGCAAGUCGAGCGAACUGAUUAGAAGCUUGCUUCUAUGACGUUAGCGGCGGACGGGUGAGUAACACGUGGGCAACCUGCCUGUAAGACUGGGAUAACUUCGGGAAACCGAAGCUAAUACCGGAUAGGAUCUUCUCCUUCAUGGGAGAUGAUUGAAAGAUGGUUUCGGCUAUCACUUACAGAUGGGCCCGCGGUGCAUUAGCUAGUUGGUGAGGUAACGGCUCACCAAGGCAACGAUGCAUAGCCGACCUGAGAGGGUGAUCGGCCACACUGGGACUGAGACACGGCCCAGACUCCUACGGGAGGCAGCAGUAGGGAAUCUUCCGCAAUGGACGAAAGUCUGACGGAGCAACGCCGCGUGAGUGAUGAAGGCUUUCGGGUCGUAAAACUCUGUUGUUAGGGAAGAACAAGUACGAGAGUAACUGCUCGUACCUUGACGGUACCUAACCAGAAAGCCACGGCUAACUACGUGCC
This 505-nucleotide ribosomal RNA is filed under the name Bacillus sp. (in: firmicutes). RNAcentral describes it as "bacterial SSU rRNA". It matches the Rfam family "Bacterial small subunit ribosomal RNA", at positions 23 to 509 of the family's 1533-position model. Lineage: Bacteria; Bacillati; Bacillota; Bacilli; Caryophanales; Bacillaceae. The record is from RNAcentral.